CAAGAAAUUCUGUCCUGAAGCUCUCUUCAGUUGACUUGGUAUCGCUACUUUUAGCAACAGUGAUAAGACAGCAAUACCAAGACCUGGCCUCGUUAAGAGAAAAAUGGACAUGGAGAGAGGCAAAUACACAGGGAGAAAACCAUAUGAGGAUGAAGGCAGAAAUCAGAGUGAUGCCUCUAAAACCAAGAAACGACAAAGAUUGCCAGCAAACCACCAGAGGGUAGGAGAGAGGAAUGGAACAGCCUUCAGAAGGAACCAACCCUGCCAACAUCUUGAUCUUGGACUUCUGGACUCCAGAACCCGAGCAGAUGCACGUGGAGCCAGUGACUAUGAAGUGGGUCAUAUUGAAUUUACUCAGUUUUUCUCAAGUCUUCAAGCGUGAAGUGUUGCAAACCAUCGUAUGUACACUGGGGAAAGAAAGGAAGAAAAAAAAAAGAACUCCAAGGAAAAGCCUGUGAAAGGAAAACGGCAAGAUAAAGCAACACAAUUUCAAAUCUUAAUCUCCUGAAACGGUGCCUUGAAAGCCGCACUUUCCACAUUUCCGAGUGGGGCCCUUCAAAACUCCGUGUCAAAUCAUGUUAUAACCUUGCUUCUUAUCUGUUUGUGAGAGCUUUCAAGGGCCAGUAAUUCCCCCAUAUGUGGCAGAAAAGUUCAUAGUAGAGAUUUGUGCACUUGACUAAGCUUCCCGCCUUGCUUUCUGUGGGGUGCUGGGAAGGAGGGAGAUUUGUUCUCCCUUUCAGAACUAAAUCAUGCAACUGCCAAGGACACAGUCUAGAAGCAAACCGGAAUCACUCACUUGGUCAGAUAAUCUACAGAACGAUGACUUAAUAUUAUACUCUCUGCUUUUGUCCAGUAAAUCACACAGCGGUAGAAUGUCCCUGCAUUGUUUCCAAGUAAUAACUAACAGACAAGACCCCUUCUAUGAGGGAGGCCUUUUUGGUGCCCUCUCCCCUGACAUUCUGCUUUGGCACCCCUGUCCCAUCACCAGAGAUGACCUGGAGUUCUGGGUGGUGGCUGGCUGCUGGGGUGACAACAGUGCCACGGGCUUGGGAAAGAAGAGUCACAGAAACCGUAACAGCUGUGGAGAGAGGGUGUCAUCUGCCACGAGAAGGGUGGGGGAUAUCACUCACUUCAUUUCCUCCUCUACCUGCCUGGUGGCACUUUGACUGUCCUCAGGCUUUAACAGGAAGAGGCAGACAGGAGAGCUCUGAGGAGCAACCUCAGGACCAGGGCUCACAAACGCCAGUGUCAGCGGGGCCAGGUAGGCAAUGCCAGUGAGGGAGAUGGACCAGGUGAAAGGCAAUAAAGAUGGUUGGGGUCUAAGAAAAGAAAAGAAAAGAAAAAAAGACAUCAUCUACUACAUUUUUUUUUAAAACAAAGAUAUCUUCCUUUAAAAAAAAAAUAAAGAUUACAUUUAGAAACAAAAACAAAAUUAGGUGUUCGUGGCAAAUUAAUAUAUUUUCUUGCAUUAAGCAUGAUACCUGUUGUUCCCUUUUUCCUUGACUGUCAAGAGGCUCAAAGCUAAAUUUUGUUUCCUUUUGAUUUUUUUGACACAGUUAUCUUCCUCUCCCUCCCAUCCCUUUCCUCUCCCAACGCAUACACAGAUACAUGUGCACGCACACACACACACACUUCAUAUACACACAUACACAUAUAUGAUAGUUAUAGUUAUAUUGUUAUCUUUGGCUUUAUUGCAUUUGUCUCUUUCACUGUAAGUUGCAUGGGAAAUCCUUUUCACAAGUAUGCAGAGUAAAAAAUAAAUUAAUAAAAUGAACAGUUUCUACACUCAAGAGGCCAUUUUUUCCACUUCUUUAACUGGAA
Molecule: long non-coding RNA, 1821 nt
Organism: Diceros bicornis minor
Lineage: Eukaryota; Metazoa; Chordata; Mammalia; Perissodactyla; Rhinocerotidae
Exons: 3
Source: RefSeq, a predicted model, not a curated record